This 771-nucleotide ribosomal RNA is filed under the name uncultured bacterium. Its description in RNAcentral is "bacterial SSU rRNA". It matches the Rfam family "Bacterial small subunit ribosomal RNA", at positions 8 to 796 of the family's 1533-position model. The record is from RNAcentral.
AGAGUUUGAUCAUGGCUCAGGACGAACGCUGGCGGCGUGCUUAAUACAUGCAAGUCGAACGGAAAGGCCCUUCGGGGUGCUCGAGUGGCGAACGGGUGAGUAACACGUGGGUGAUCUGCCCUGCACCUUGGGAUAAGCCUGGGAAACUGGGUCUAAUACCGGAUAGGACUACGCGAUGCAUGUCGUGUGGUGGAAAGCUUUUGCGGUGUGGGAUGGGCCCGCGGCCUAUCAGCUUGUUGGUGGGGUGAUGGCCUACCAAGGCGACGACGGGUAGCCGGCCUGAGAGGGUGUCCGGCCACACUGGGACUGAGAUACGGCCCAGACUCCUACGGGAGGCAGCAGUGGGGAAUAUUGCACAAUGGGCGCAAGCCUGAUGCAGCGACGCCGCGUGAGGGAUGACGGCCUUCGGGUUGUAAACCUCUUUCAGCACAGACGAAGCGCAAGUGACGGUAUGUGCAGAAGAAGGACCGGCCAACUACGUGCCAGCAGCCGCGGUAAUACGUAGGGUCCGAGCGUUGUCCGGAAUUACUGGGCGUAAAGAGCUCGUAGGUGGUUUGUCGCGUUGUUCGUGAAAACUCACAGCUUAACUGUGGGCGUGCGGGCGAUACGGGCAGACUUGAGUACUGCAGGGGAGACUGGAAUUCCUGGUGUAGCGGUGGAAUGCGCAGAUAUCAGGAGGAACACCGGUGGCGAAGGCGGGUCUCUGGGCAGUAACUGACGCUGAGGAGCGAAAGCGUGGGGAGCGAACAGGAUUAGAUACCCCGGUAGUCC